This 305-nucleotide ribosomal RNA is filed under the name uncultured bacterium. Its description in RNAcentral is "bacterial SSU rRNA". It matches the Rfam family "Bacterial small subunit ribosomal RNA", at positions 334 to 638 of the family's 1533-position model. The record is from RNAcentral.
UGUUCCUACGGGACGCAGCAGCGGGGAAUAUUGCACAAUGGGGGAAACCCUGAUGCAGCGACGCCGCGUGAGUGAAGAAGUAUUUCGGUAUGUAAAGCUCUAUCAGCAGGGAAGAAAUACUGACCUUACGGUCAGCAGACGGUACCUGACUAAGAAGCCCCGGCUAACUACGUGCCAGCAGCCGCGGUAAUACGUAUGGUGCAAGCGUUAUCCGGAAUGACUGGGUGUAAAGGGAGCGUAGACGGUUGUACAAGUCUGAUGUGAAAGCCCACGGCUCAACUGUGGGAGUGCAUUGGAAACUGUAG